UGCGUAGGCGGAAAAUUAAGUCAGUGAUGAAAUCCUGCAGCUUAACUGUAGAACUGUUAUUAAUACUGAUUUUCUUGAAUUCAGUUGAGGUAGGCGGAAUGUGUAAUGUAGCGGUGAAAUGCUUAGAUAUUACACAGAACACCAAUUGCGAAGGCAGCUUACUAAGCUGAUAUUGACGCUGAGGCACGAAAGCGUGGGGAGCGAACAGGAUUAGAUACCCUGGUAGUCC
RNAcentral lists this ribosomal RNA (229 nucleotides) under uncultured bacterium. RNAcentral's name for it is "partial 16S ribosomal RNA". It matches the Rfam family "Bacterial small subunit ribosomal RNA", at positions 568 to 796 of the family's 1533-position model. The record is from RNAcentral.